Molecule: unclassified non-coding RNA, 348 nt
Filed under: soil metagenome
Description: partial contains 5.8S ribosomal RNA, internal transcribed spacer 2, and large subunit ribosomal RNA
Rfam family: 5.8S ribosomal RNA (bases 1-120)
Source: RNAcentral
GAUGAAGAACGCAGCGAAAUGCGAUAACUAAUGUGAAUUGCAGAAUUCCGUGAAUCAUCGAGUCUUUGAACGCACAUUGCGCCCCCUGGUAUUCCGGGGGGCAUGCCUGUCCGAGCGUCAUUGCUGCCCAUCAAGCACGGCUUGUGUGUUGGGUCCUCGUCCCCCCCGGGGGACGUGCCCGAAAGGCAGCGGCGGCACCGCGUCCGGUCCUCGAGCGUAUGGGGCUUUGUCACCCGCUCUGCAGGCCCGGCCGGCGCUGGCCGACGCGAAAGCAACCAUUUUUUCUCCAGGUUGACCUCGGAUCAGGUAGGGAUACCCGCUGAACUUAAGCAUAUCAUAAGCGGAGGA